RNAcentral lists this ribosomal RNA (328 nucleotides) under uncultured bacterium. RNAcentral's name for it is "bacterial SSU rRNA". It matches the Rfam family "Bacterial small subunit ribosomal RNA", at positions 8 to 334 of the family's 1533-position model. The record is from RNAcentral.
AGGGUUUGAUUAUGGCUCAGAUUGAACGCUGGCGGCAUGCUUUACACAUGCAAGUCGAACGGCAGCACAGGGAGCUUGCUCCCGGGUGGCGAGUGGCGCACGGGUGAGUAAGACAUCGGAACGUGUCCUCUUGUGGGGGAUAACUACCCGAAAGGGUGGCUAAUACCGCAUAAGUCCUGAGGGAGAAAGCGGGGGAUCUUCGGACCUCGCGCGAGAGGAGCGGCCGAUGGCCGAUUAGCUAGUUGGUGAGGUAAAGGCUCACCAAGGCGACGAUCGGUAGCUGGUCUGAGAGGACGACCAGCCACACUGGGACUGAGACACGGCCCAG